UCGAACAUUGGUCAGAAACAUUACAAGAUAAACGAUAUCCUAAUUUUAAGGC
This 52-nucleotide small RNA is filed under the name Staphylococcus aureus. Its description in RNAcentral is "HMPRFS0000_0663". Lineage: Bacteria; Bacillati; Bacillota; Bacilli; Caryophanales; Staphylococcaceae. The record is from RNAcentral.